UCCUAACCCAUAAAUCUCAGAAUGUGACUUUACUUGGAAAUAGGACCAUUCCAGGCCUCAUUCCUCGCUCACCAGGCCCCGCAGGGCCGGCCGAGCACUGUGGAGACCAGGAGACGCGAGAUUCUCGAGAACCCUCAGGAGAGACGCCAGGGAGGGCGGGUGUGGGGUUGGUCCUGCAAGGUGACCAGGGCUUGACGGAUGGGCAGAAGCAGGGUGCCAGGCGGGGCCUGGCGAUGAGGAAAUACUCGCUGUGGCUGCGGCCCCGCCCUCCGCCUGCACUUUCUGUGCUGUCCUAGCACUCGAGGAGAACAGAUGGCAUUUUCUGAAUCAGCCUAAGAUUUUUAUGAACGCACGUCGCCUCCGCGUGCAUAGUCCACUGUAUGGAGGUUCAGUUCGAUCCGGAUCUUAUCGCAGGAGCGUGACUCAGAGCAGGAAGGUCUCCGCCCUGCCUCUGAGAGAGAGAAAAGGAGAGGGAGGGAGAGAUAGAAAC
Molecule: long non-coding RNA, 490 nt
Organism: Myotis myotis
Lineage: Eukaryota; Metazoa; Chordata; Mammalia; Chiroptera; Vespertilionidae
Exons: 3
Source: RefSeq, a predicted model, not a curated record